GACGAACGCUGGCGGCGUGCCUAAUACAUGCAAGUAGAACGCUGAAGGAGGAGCUUGCUUCUCUGGAUGAGUUGCGAACGGGUGAGUAACGCGUAGGUAACCUGCCUGGUAGCGGGGGAUAACUAUUGGAAACGAUAGCUAAUACCGCAUAAGAGUAGAUGUUGCAUGACAUUUGCUUAAAAGGUGCAAUUGCACCACUACCAGAUGGACCUGCGUUGUAUUAGCUAGUUGGUGGGGUAACGGCUCACCAAGGCGACGAUACAUAGCCGACCUGAGAGGGUGAUCGGCCACACUGGGACUGAGACACGGCCCAGACUCCUACGGGAGGCAGCAGUAGGGAAUCUUCGGCAAUGGACGGAAGUCUGACCGAGCAACGCCGCGUGAGUGAAGAAGGUUUUCGGAUCGUAAAGCUCUGUUGUAAGAGAAGAACGAGUGUGAGAGUGGAAAGUUCACACUGUGACGGUAUCUUACCAGAAAGGGACGGCUAACUACGUGCCAGCAGCCGCGGUAAUACGUAGGUCCCGAGCGUUGUCCGGAUUUAUUGGGCGUAAAGCGAGCGCAGGCGGUUAGAUAAGUCUGAAGUUAAAGGCUGUGGCUUAACCAUAGUACGCUUUGGAAACUGUUUAACUUGAGUGCAAGAGGGGAGAGUGGAAUUCCAUGUGUAGCGGUGAAAUGCGUAGAUAUAUGGAGGAACACCGGUGGCGAAAGCGGCUCUCUGGCUUGUAACUGACGCUGAGGCUCGAAAGCGUGGGGAGCAAACAGG
This 763-nucleotide ribosomal RNA is filed under the name uncultured Streptococcus sp. RNAcentral's name for it is "bacterial SSU rRNA". It matches the Rfam family "Bacterial small subunit ribosomal RNA", at positions 28 to 776 of the family's 1533-position model. The record is from RNAcentral. Lineage: Bacteria; Bacillati; Bacillota; Bacilli; Lactobacillales; Streptococcaceae.